Long non-coding RNA from Gallus gallus (chicken), 1569 nucleotides. Lineage: Eukaryota; Metazoa; Chordata; Aves; Galliformes; Phasianidae. The record is from Ensembl.
UAAACUGGUUUUGCUGUAUGCUGCAGCAGCACAUCUUGAGGCAUUCAUGGCAAAGCCUAGAGCACCCUGAGAAAUGAGGAAAAAGCAGCACCAGCUGAGAAUCAAUACAUUUUUACUAAGAAGACUAAUGGACAUUUCUUCAGAGACAGCCAAGGACCUAAAUAAUGAGCGUCUUCAACGAAGCAUGUUUAUCUAUGCGUCCUUAAGUCGUAAAGGAAUAUCUAGCUUCCAAAUGCCAAUACUAAAAAAAACUAAAGAAGGAGUCCAGUGGAGGGCCACAAAGAUGAUGAAGGGACUGGAGCAUCUUCUUUACGAGGAAAGGCUGAGGCACCUGGGACACAUUGGCAUGGAGAAGAAAAGGCUGAGAUGUUGCAGUCUCUUUCUAUGGAGAUACUCAAGACUUGUCUGGAUGCCUACCUAUGCAACCUAUUGUGGGGUACCUGCUUUGGCAGAGGAGUUGGACUCCAUGAACUUUUGAGGUCCCUCCCAACCCCUGCAGUUCUGUAAUUCUGCAACAAUAAGAAACAGUCUCCUCCUGGAUGGCUGUUAAAUGAAUCUAAUAAUGAAAGUAACAAAAAAGGUUGUGCAGAAAAUGAGAUACUCAAGGAAAGUGCUAGUUAUGAACAUGAAUGGUCAUACACCACCACAGGAAGGAAAACGGAUGUUCCUGAGUGCUUUAUGCUUUCCUUGAAAGGAUUCCAUGCAUGCAUUUUGUGAUACAAAGAAUAGAUCCUGUUGUGCAUCUUUCUUAAAUAUGUAAGAGCCAAUUGAAAGGUUGAUGUUAUGAUGAUUGGCUAUAAAAAUCCUUUCAAAAAUGCUAUUGCUACAGUUUUAUACUCAGAUAAAAUGCCUGGCAGAACUCUUUAAUUUACAUUAGAGCUUUAAAAGACAAGGUAAAAAAUAAAAAGAGAACUUGUCAAGGCCUGGAAUUUUAAUUUUCUGGAAAAAAUCUGCCAUUGUGAACAUUUUUUUCAUCAAGAAAUUGAAGUCUGCAGCUGGUGAAAAUCUUAUGAAUAGAAUGCCUAUCAUAUCACCUCCUAAUUAAUUUAUUUUGAUAAUUUCAUGUGGUGUGGCAACUUUUAAUUUAUUAUUUUACAAUCCAUUUCCAAUACUUUGAUAUCUUUCUAAUUGGAAAACCAUAAUCCGUCCCAUUUGUUAAAAUAAAAGAAUGUACUGGUCUCAUGACACUAUGGAUUUUUAUUAUUAGAUAAUUGCCAAGAAAGUAAAAUGUUGUAUGUUAUUUGUAGCACUAUCAGUUCUUGUGAGUUGCCUUUUUUUUUUUUGUUGUUCUACAAUUGAAAUUUUUCAACCAUUUCUAAGUAUGAUAGUUAUUCACUUUUACUGAAGAUGAGAAAUUCAAAUAAUGUGGUGCUUUGUAUGCUGUGAAAAGGAACUGUAGGAACAAAGAAAUGAAAAAAAAAAUAGAAGUGAUAAUGAAAAUUACCAACUCUGUGCUUGAUUUUCUAGUACUGACUUGAGCAGAAGAUAUUUGCUCAUCUUCGCAGAUAUCACAGUGUGAUUUUUACAUUUGCCUUUGAAGUUCAGAAAAGUUUUUGUGACAGUUCUAUC